Molecule: long non-coding RNA, 1030 nt
Organism: Astatotilapia calliptera (eastern happy)
Lineage: Eukaryota; Metazoa; Chordata; Actinopteri; Cichliformes; Cichlidae
Source: Ensembl
AAUGGAUUUAAGUGGUGACAAUCAAAGAUUUACAAGUUACUAAUUCAUUGUGCGCUGCAGGCAAAAAACAAAAAGACACACUCAUUGUAACUUCUCAUUAGUGGAAGGAAAUCAUGAUUAUAAAUGUGCAGACUAUUUAUUAUUGUAGGAAUCGGGUUUAUGUUGUAACCAGCGGCUUACUUUCAAAUAGUAACCAUCAAGGCUGAGGCUCACUUCAUGAGACAGUUAAUGGAAAGGAAAAACACCUGUGGCUGCACCUACCUUUGCCACAGCAGAUGCAAAUAAGUUUUGCUACUUUACUUUCAUCCCACAUGAAAAUUACAACAAGAAACCAAGAGAUGAUGCAUGUUUGGCAGUCUUUCUACAUGCUUUGAAGUACAUGAGUUAUGGUAAGUGAGUUGCUUUCAGGAGAUGUUAUUUUCAGUAACUGAAAUCAAAUUGUUUGGUGUUGUUUGACUGGAGCUAAUCACUGAACAUUGUUGUGGAAAGGCAGUGUGAGCUUUGUCACGUGUGACCUGUUUUGGGGUUGCUUUUUUUUUUUUUUAUAUGAGUGUAUGUGUGGAGAGUAGAGGGUUAACAUUUAAUGAAGGGACAGAAAGAUGGGGAAUUACAUUAGACAAAGGUACAUAGGUAUACAUAGUUGAUGUGAUGUCAUGUGAACGGCCUAAUCCUCUAACCCAACAGGACACUUAUGUAACCAUUAAUUUUCUGUCAGUAACACAACGCUAAGGUAAACAUGCUCUGUAAUGUUUAUAUUUAGCAGUUUCUGUGAUUUCCUGGCUUUGGUUUUGAACAUUCAUGCAGGUGAGGAUUUUUUUUUACUUUAUUGCCAGACCAGUGCACGUCAGUAUUGGUCCCAUUACGCUACUUUAGAAGUAGGUGAAGUUGUACCUAACACAUACAAUCUGCUUUUUGGGGGUUUGAUCAGCUCACAUCUAUAAUCAGCAUGCAUCCGUAUACCUGCUUUGCAUUGCUGAUCUCUGUAUGACUGAUAUGUGUAUAAGUGUAUUUAUUUGUAUGGAAAUGCAAU